AUGCAACCGGCGCAGCCUCCGUGUGGCAGCCGGAGAGGAGGGAGAGGAGCCCCGUCGCGGGCGGCGCCACUCCCACGCUGCAACCACCACCGGCUGCUCGUCCUCGUCGUCAUCGUCUACCUGGUUGGCGGCAGCGACGUUGUCCCUCUAGCCGCUGGUGCGGCGCCGGCCCGCCGUCUGGGACCAGCGGAAUCCGUGGCGUACGACGUCGGCUCACGGCCGGUACCCAAAGUGGUCGCUGCGGCGAGCUCGCCGUCGUCGACGCCUUCUGCCGUGGGGUUCGCCGACGACAAACGGCCGGUCCCGAGCUGCCCCGACGCCCUACACAACAGUAAAAAGUUCGAGAUAGGUUCUCAAAAAUCAUAUAUGGUUCCACUGAUUCGGUUCUCGGUUGUGCACAUGGGAUUGUCUGAGCAUGUGUCUGUUUUUAGCCAAGAGAUUCUUGAAUCUCGCCGGACGCCGGGCAUGCAUCUGUGA
RNAcentral lists this ribosomal RNA (477 nucleotides) under Triticum aestivum (bread wheat). Its description in RNAcentral is "partial small subunit ribosomal RNA". Lineage: Eukaryota; Viridiplantae; Streptophyta; Magnoliopsida; Poales; Poaceae. The record is from RNAcentral.